CGAACGAAGUGGCCUAUUGAAGAUGGAGUGCUUGCACAAAGUUGGAUAUGGAUCACCAGUGAGUGGCGGACGGGUGAGUAACACGUAGGUAACCUGCCCCGGAGCGGGGGAUAACAUUUGGAAACAGAUGCUAAUACCGCAUAACACAAAAGCCACAUGGCUUUUGUUUGAAAGAUGGCUUUGGCUAUCACUCUGGGAUGGACCUGCGGUGCAUUAGCUAGUUGGUAAGGUAACGGCUUACCAAGGCGAUGAUGCAUAGCCGAGUUGAGAGACUGAUCGGCCACAAUGGAACUGAGACACGGUCCAUACUCCUACGGGAGGCAGCAGUAGGGAAUCUUCCACAAUGGGCGCAAGCCUGAUGGAGCAACACCGCGUGAGUGAAGAAGGGUUUCGGCUCGUAAAGCUCUGUUGUUGGAGAAGAACGUGCGUGAGAGUAACUGUUCACGCAGUGACGGUAUCCAACCAGAAAGUCACGGCUAACUACGUG
Molecule: ribosomal RNA, 487 nt
Filed under: uncultured bacterium
Lineage: Bacteria
Description: bacterial SSU rRNA
Rfam family: Bacterial small subunit ribosomal RNA
Source: RNAcentral